RNAcentral lists this long non-coding RNA (269 nucleotides) under Prunus persica (peach). RNAcentral describes it as "long non-coding RNA (PPER_LNC007402)". Lineage: Eukaryota; Viridiplantae; Streptophyta; Magnoliopsida; Rosales; Rosaceae. The record is from RNAcentral.
ACGGAUACUCUGGUGGUCCCGCACGUAGGAUAGUAGAAGAAUGUAUCGUCUAACCCAAUCAGAAGAAGACACAUAUCUUGAUGAAGAAAGAGUGAAAGAUAUUUGAAAAAUGUUUUGGUUACAUUAUUUUGUGUCUGGUUAAGGUGACGUUGGCUUGGACAUGACAGCGACAGGGAUGUGAGUGGUCUGGUCCCCUGUCUGUCCCAUUUACUAAUUACCUACAAAACAAUUAUGUUGACGUGAAAAAGAACGUUAAGCCAGUACAAAAU